AGUGAACGCUGGCGGUAUGCCUAACACAUGCAAGUCGAACGGCAGCACAGUAAGAGCUUGCUCUUACGGGUGGCGAGUGGCGGACGGGUGAGGAAUACAUCGGAAUCUACUUUUUCGUGGGGGAUAACGUAGGGAAACUUACGCUACUACCGCAUACGACCUACGGGAGAAAGCAGCGGCACUUCGGACCUUGCGCGAUUGAAUGAGCCGACGUCGGAUUGGCUAGCUGGCGGGGUAAAGGCGCACCAAGGCGACGAUCCGUAGCUGGUCCGAGAGGGUGAUCAGCCAGACUGGAAGUGAGGCACGCUCGCGACUCCGACGGGAGGCCGCAGUGGGGAAUAUUGGACGAUGCAGGCAAGCCUGAUCCAGCCAUACCGCGUGGGUGAAGAAGGCGUUCGGGUUGGAAAGCCCUUUUGUUGGGAAAGAAGAACAGCAGGUUAAUACCCCGCUGUUAUGACGGUACCCAAAGAAUAAGCACCGGCUAACUACGUG
Molecule: ribosomal RNA, 492 nt
Filed under: uncultured bacterium
Lineage: Bacteria
Description: partial 16S ribosomal RNA
Rfam family: Bacterial small subunit ribosomal RNA
Source: RNAcentral